AUGCCCUGGCAGUCAGAGGCGAUGAAGGGCGUGCUAAUCUGCGAUAAGCGCCGGUAAGGUGAUAUGAACCGUUAUAACCGGCGAUACCCGAAUGGGGAAACCCAGUGUGAUUCGUCACACUAUCAUUAACUGAAUCCAUAGGUUAAUGAGGCGAACCGGGGGAACUGAAACAUCUAAGUACCCCGAGGAAAAGAAAUCAACCGAGAUUCCCCCAGUAGCGGCGAGCGAACGGGGAGGAGCCCAGAGCCUGAAUCAGCAUGUGUGUUAGUGGAAGCGUCUGGAAAGGCGCGCGAUACAGGGUGACAGCCCCGUACACAAAAGCGCAUGUGCUGUGAGCUCGAUGAGUAGGGCGGGACACGUGGUAUCCUGUCUGAAUAUGGGGGGACCAUCCUCCAAGGCUAAAUACUCCUGACUGACCGAUAGUGAACCAGUACCGUGAGGGAAAGGCGAAAAGAACCCCGGCGAGGGGAGUGAAAAAGAACCUGAAACCGUGUACGUACAAGCAGUGGGAGCA
RNAcentral lists this ribosomal RNA (514 nucleotides) under Salmonella enterica subsp. enterica serovar Ituri. Its description in RNAcentral is "partial 23S ribosomal RNA". It matches the Rfam family "Bacterial large subunit ribosomal RNA", at positions 28 to 581 of the family's 2925-position model. Lineage: Bacteria; Pseudomonadati; Pseudomonadota; Gammaproteobacteria; Enterobacterales; Enterobacteriaceae. The record is from RNAcentral.